RNAcentral lists this ribosomal RNA (770 nucleotides) under uncultured Carnobacterium sp. RNAcentral describes it as "bacterial SSU rRNA". It matches the Rfam family "Bacterial small subunit ribosomal RNA", at positions 28 to 776 of the family's 1533-position model. Lineage: Bacteria; Bacillati; Bacillota; Bacilli; Lactobacillales; Carnobacteriaceae. The record is from RNAcentral.
GACGAACGCGGCGGCGUGCCUAAUACAUGCAAGUCGAACGCACGAAGUUGAAGAGCUUGCUCUUUAACCAAGUGAGUGGCGGACGGGUGAGUAACACGUGGGUAACCUGCCCAUUAGAGGGGGAUAACAUUCGGAAACGGAUGCUAAUACCGCAUAGUUUCAGGGAUCGCAUGAUUCUUGAAGGAAAGGUGGCUUCGGCUACCACUAAUGGAUGGACCCGCGGCGUAUUAGCUAGUUGGUGAGGUAAUGGCUCACCAAGGCAAUGAUACGUAGCCGACCUGAGAGGGUGAUCGGCCACACUGGGACUGAGACACGGCCCAGACUCCUACGGGAGGCAGCAGUAGGGAAUCUUCCGCAAUGGACGAAAGUCUGACGGAGCAACGCCGCGUGAGUGAAGAAGGUUUUCGGAUCGUAAAACUCUGUUGUUAAAGAAGAACAAGGAUGAGAGUAACUGCUCAUCCCCUGACGGUAUUUAACCAGAAAGCCACGGCUAACUACGUGCCAGCAGCCGCGGUAAUACGUAGGGGGCAAGCGUUAUCCGGAUUUACUGGGUGUAAAGGGAGCGCAGACGGCAAUGCAAGUCUGAAGUGAAAGGCGUGGGCUCAACCCAUGAACUGCUUUGGAAACUGUAUAGCUUGAGUGUCGGAGGGGUAAGCGGAAUUCCUAGUGUAGCGGUGAAAUGCGUAGAUAUUAGGAGGAACACCGGAGGCGAAGGCGGCUUACUGGACGACAACUGACGUUGAGGCUCGAAGGCGUGGGGAGCAAACAGG